UCUGACAUACAGGACAGACACACAGAGAUGAAGGCCACAUGAUGACAGAGGCAGAGACUGGGGAUGAUAGAGCUGCAAGGCAAGGAAUGUCACAGAUUGCCAGCAACCCCCAGAAGCUAGAAAGAGGCAAGGAAGGGGCCCUAGCGCCUUCAGAGGGAGCAUGGCUCUGCCAGCACCUUGAUGUCAGACCCCUAGCCUUCAGGACUAUGAGAGAAUAAGUUUCUGUCAUUCUAAACUGCGCUGUUUGUGGCAGUUGGUUUCGGCAGUCCUAGAAAACAAAUACGCCUGAGAACACCAGGUUUGCUGAUUCUAAAGAUACCUCUUCUUCCUCAAAGGAUUUCAAGGCUGCCUGCUCUGUGGCUGUUGACACUGAAGGCCCUCGCUCUUGCCAAUAUCUGAUUCGCCUGCUCUUGAGGAAAGCCAGUGAGAAGCAUUAGACAGGGGAAUGACACCAUCUAUCUGAGAGUUUUACUGUGUUAUUUCUAUAAAAGUAAGCAGAAACCAACAGGCUGAACUGGAAGAAAACAACCCAUGGGGAUUUAAUCAAUGUAAUAAGAAACUGUCAGAAGAGAGAAAGACCUGUAAGAUAAGAAUUUUCCACUAAGUAUGAACUAAGUCUCUGUAACCUUCAUGUUCCUAGAGCUCUUGGAAUUUAUUUUAAAAACCAAACUUUUUUUUUUUUUUAAGUAAGGCUAUAAAGCUCCAGGAGCAUAGACAUUUUUAAGACUGCCAACUGGGAAAGUACUUUCAGGAUGAAACAGAUCGGUUUCCCUUAACAAGUAUUUUUAGUGGUUUUACUCUGAGUUCUGGUUGGGAAUAUUCCAGCAAUGUCACUUAGAAGUUGAAAGAGGACCCAGCUGCUUUGUCAGAAUGAUUCUUCGCCUGCCUUUUCCCUUCGAAAAUUUACCUUAGACUUUAUUCAUUUCUGUGAAUUGUCCCCAUUUGGGUGAUCCCUUUGUUCUCAGCAUAUGAUGGUAAGAAAAAGAUUCAGAUUCCAGCUUCACUGUUUUUUAGCUGCUGGGAUGUUUAGGCAAUGGAAGUAAGUUGAGAUGAUUAAAAGAGAUAAUGCACAUAAAGCCUUUAUUGUAUAGGAAAUACUUAAAAAGUUGACUGAAUGCAGGAACUGGCGUUGUGCCAUGACUAUGGGGACUCUUCAGGGAAAGAUCAACUGGCCCCAAACGGAACUGAAGCAGCAGCUGUUCAAGCAUCUGUGGAUGUUGAACUGGGAGUGGCAUCUGGGGCAUCGGGUGGUCGGGGCUGUGACAGACCAAGGGCUGAUCAUGCAGCACCACCUCAAGAAGCGGGCAUCCAGUGCACGUGCCAACAUUACUCUGUUGAGGAAGAAGCUCAGAAAACUUCUCCAGCAGAUCCAGUUUGCCCAGAAAGAGAAGGCAGCCACAGAAGCGGAAACCCCCUCAAAGCCAGCCAGGACUAGUGAACCACAACUCAAAGGUCAAAAGAAGACAAAAGCCCCCUAGGAUGUAGAAAUGAAGGCCCUUGAAGAUGAGAGCUAAACCUCUUCCUCUAGAAGAUUCUCAAUGGGAUCCAGAAGGACUCAGUGGCUGUUUCAGAGGACUUUGGCAAAAGCAGUGCCCCCUUUCACUCACCAGAUUUCCUCCCUCAUCCUCCUCUGGAAAAAUGUCUUUGGGAGGGAAGAAGGUACAGAAUAAAGACUGGAGAAGGGCCUCUCUAGCAGUCAAUUUCGUUUGUAAUAAAGCCCUAGCACUCUGAAAAAAAAAGUUCACUGAUUAAUAAAUUCAUAAUUCAACAACUGUGUACCAUGAGACCAUCAUCUGUCCCUAAGGGCAGUGGAUGCAAAUGAUCCCAGACAUGUCUCCUUACCUCAGGAUGCUUUCAGGUUUUUAACUGAUGAAAGUCUUUCUACAACAACAAACAUUGACCUUUAUUGUGUAGAGUGAGAGCUGAGGCUGAGAAAUAAGAGGAACUGGACUGCUUGAGAGUUUGCAUUUAAACCCCCUGUUAAUGAUAGAGGAGAAAGGGCCGAGAAGAUUGAGAUGCAGAGCAGAGAAAGAAGGAACCAGCCUGGGCUGCACUUCGGAGUUUAUGGAAACUUUCAUUUUUUAAUUAAGGUCAAAUCUUGAGUACUUACAAGAAUACCAGCAAGUUCAUGGAUUAAAUAAAAUGGAUUUCAAACCUAUACACUUCAUAUAACUAUCUUGAUGGCUGAAAAGGUUUUUAUCUCAUGUUUUUAUUUUCCUUUUGAAUCAUGUUCUCUCUGGGUUUCCAUUAGUUGCACAUAAUAGAAUUGAUCACACCUAGAAACUGUGUUCAUCAAUGCACACAUGAAAUAUAUACAUACAUUGUUAUGAGAUUUCAAGCAAGCCACAUUAGCGUUCAUGGUCUCAGUCUUCAAAUGAGGUAGGUAACUCUGAAGUCUUUCCAAAUCCCACUGGAACUCUAUGAUAUGAUUCACAUAAUGAAAUUUCUUCAGAGGUUGGGAAGGUAACCUAAAUGGAUGAACUAGGCUGGAGAUAAACUGGAAAUGCUAUGUAGCCAGUACUAUUAGGUUGGUGUACAAGUAACUGCAGUUUUUGCCAUUAAAAGUAAGUACAAACCUAAUAUUAUCAAGAAACAUUGGCAACCCUUUCUUUGCUAUAUUGUAUUUUUUCUAUUAAAAAUUUAAAUUUGUAAUGUAUUUAUAUUUAAAUUUUCAAUUUGUAUCUCCUCUAUCUAAGAUAAAAGUUGAAAAUAUUGUAUCUUAAGAAAUCCUGGGUGUGCCCCACAAAACCCAACCACACUGAUCUGGGGCUCUGGGGAUAUCAGUUUGACUUAGAAUCUACAAUUGUUUAUCAGAUACUGUGAAAGAGCUGCAGAAGAUGGCACACAAACUGUUCAACGCUGGUGUGAAGAUGAAAGUGCUGACUUGAGACACCAUGGUCUGAAAACUCAAGGUGGAAUUUCACAGUGAACACAUGGAUUAUGAGCCCAGAAUGAAUUCUUAACUGGUCCCUGAGUGUCGUUAAACUGCGGAACUGCUAGAAGAAAGCUGUAGCUGUCCAUGGUGCUUAAGAAUUUUCCCUAAUGCUGGAGUCUCAAAGUCUGUGAUAUGGAAAUACUUUACAUUGAACAUAUUGUGCAUUAACAAUGACAAUGACAACAAACCCAGUCCCCCCACAACAAAUCACUUUGAUAUGGCUCAAGAGGAUUUAAUGUAUUUGUGACUCAACUCAAUAACAAACACUUAAAUAGAAACUCAUAUUCUUGAUUUUCUUUCUGUAGUUCUAUAACAAUUUGCGUGUAUGUAGAAUAAUGUGUGUGUGUGUGAUUUAUCUCUUAAAGCUUCUACUAGCAUCACAUAUUUCCCCGAUGUUAAUAUUUUCAUGAUUUGAUUGUCUACACUCCCAAAGUACAGUGCUUGACACAAGUGACUGUUUAGGUACCAGCAAUUUUGCUCUGGGCUCUGGAGUGUGUAAUAGGAAUAUCAGUUUAUGAUUCUUCUUCCUAUAAGUUUAACUCCAUAGUAACAAUUACCUUUUAUAAAUUUAAGAAAAAUCACUGUUGUUCCAAAGUGAUGGGAUUAAAAAUUCCUCAGAAGAAACUAAGAAGAAAGAAGUUGAAAAACAGCAUCUAAUCCCGAAAAUUUCCAACUCUGAAAAUACGCUCUGAAAAUCCUACUUUAAAAAUACAACUCACCUGAUUUAUUUUAAAAUGAAACAUCAAUUCUGUAUAUUCAUAGAGACCCAGAGCAAAAUGAUUUCGGCUGGAUUUCAGUUACAGUAACCAUUUUUGUCAUAAAUAUUCUGAAAUGCUGACCCUCUGUUGAUACUGGCUAGAAGAAUUUUUGUGUGUAUUUGAAAUAACUUAUUAUUUUGGAGCUAGUACUCUCAUUUGAUUGGUAUACCAACAACAAAAGAAGAGAAGACAGAAAUAUGUGUUCCAACAAAAUAAACAUUAAAGUCUUCUAUUUUUACAAUGAAGCUUUAAAAGCUUCGUGAGAUAAAUCUGAUAAAAUCAGGGAAAUUAAUAAAAAAUUAAACAAUAAAUGAAGAGAAAUCUUAAGAAGCAUUAAAAUAGGAGGCUCCUUAAAAUGACAUAUAAUCCCCAUCAUUUCAGAUGCUUUAUGUGUCUUCAUCAUUCCUCUGACUUCCUAAUGAAACAGGUCUAUUGACCUCCUAAAUUAAUCAUCCAACACCUAUUAGCCUUCAUUUUGAGGACAGUUUCAUCCUAUUUAAUCAUAAUCUUUGCCAUACAAAGCUUAUUUACUUUUUGAGCCUUUAUGUUUGUGUUUUUAUAGAGAAAACCUUGUCAUUACUCUUCACAUAACUGAAAAUAGUCACUAAAUUAGUGAGGUUUCUUACUUUUUUCAGAUAAAUAGACCUCAUAUUUUCAAACUCUUUUACUCUCCAACUUCUAAUAUAAGGUUACUUUGCAUAGUACUUUUCCAAAUUCCUCACACCCCACUGGUUAUGCAAUCCCUUCUGAGAGGGGAAAGCAUCCCAGAGGCUACCUGUCAGCUGCUAUUAUAUUUUUUGUAAAUGUUACCUUCAUGGUCUUGCUCAAAUCCAAAUGGAAAUUAUAGAGAAGAGUAUUUAAGAAAUUCUAUGUAUAGUAGGAAGUAGGUGCUAAUAGAUUUCCUUAGGCGAAAAAAAAACUGGAUUUAGGAAUGCUGAAACAGAGGAAAUCAGAUACCAUCUUGAAGAAUGUUCUUUUGGAAAGUUUAUGAGAUUAUCAAUUCUCUUGAAGCAAUAAAAAUAUAACUCUUCAUAGUUGCCAUAAUGUAAUUGUUAAUUGAGCUGAAAUGAAAAUUCUGGUUUCAACAUAUACUUUGGUAUCACUUUAAAAUAAAAAUAGUAUGGCUUACUAGACAAUAACAAACAAAAAUCAUGUCUCCUUUGAUGCUAUUACAUCUUUGGCAGAAAAGCUGAAAAUAGCUGAUUAAUAGGUAGUUUGUAAUUCUGCUGGUAUACCUCAAAACUGCGGGAUAAGUCAAGACAGUCUUUAAAAGAAUCAUGGGGUAUUUAUCAGAAAUAACCAGUUAGUAAUGUUACAAAAUGCCCAUUAGACACAGGCAUGUGAAUUAGUUUCUCUGGGAAGUUAAGAAAUAGGAUAUAAAAAAGAAAACACGGGAUAUUCAAUCACUAUCUUCAAGGUACUAACUCUCAACUUGAAGAGCCUAGGCAACAAAAAUUCCAGUGUCAGAAUCAUACAAACAAACAAAGCAAUAAAGAAUAUGACCCCCAAACAAUCUUAGCACAUAGGUAUCAUUGACUUUGGCUGGGAAGGGCAGCCAGAGGAGAAAUGUCAAAGAGAGUUUCUAGAGCAUUUGGAGGUGCUAGACUCAGGUGAAGCUCAUAUGGAAAGACAUAUUUUGACUGAAAUUGUGAAAGGCUAUUUUCUUGUCCUAAUAGAAUCUGGAAGGUCAUCUCUGAAAGUAAUGAAAUUCUUUCUGCACUGCAAUAAGAUUCUUCAAUUUUUAAUUCAAGGAAAAUCCCAAAGCAAAUGGCACAUGAAAUAUUGGGGCUUGGGGGUGGUAGUGAUAAAAUUAUCAUCAAAAUUUAAAGACCUGUCAAUCUAAGCAUGCACACAGACCCAUUUCAAAUUAAAUUAUAUUGUUUUUAAAUGACAGAUGCCAUUUUUAUCAUGCACAUUCCUGCAAUCUAAUUUACAAUAAGUCUCCAAAUAGCUUAAGGCAAUUAUUUUAGGUAGUGCUUUAUCUAGCAGUCAUGUCAUUUGCCUUCUUAUUCUGUUUUUGUUGGAUAGAUGUGAAGGAGUUUUAAUGUAUUUCAUAUUUCUGCUAACAACAAAGAAAAUUAAGAUGCACCAAAAAAGAAUGAGCCCACAGAACAUCUGGUACUCUUCCCUCAUUUAAAAAAAUAUUUAAUACAGGUGUUUCCAUUCCAAACAUUCUAUCAUCUUCCAUUUAAUUUACAGUCAAGGUCCCCCACCAAACCAUCUUCAGCCAUAAGCUAUGCCUUUUAUCAUCUCAUAAUGACUCUAAUGUAGAGUCAUUUUUUUGCCAUAUGACUUCAGGAUCGAGUAUAACAUUAGAAGGGACUCCAAGAAAUAUCAGGGCUAUUACCUUGUGUCCCAGUAUAGUUGAAUCAGAUAUGGACAUGUCAUUUACUGUCUUAUUCAUAUAAUUCUUCUUGAAAUCAAAUUUCAAAAGAAUUUCUAUUAAUAAUUAAUAAUAGAAGUCCAGGGCCAGAGGCAAAGAGGGAAAAAAUUACAGCAAAAUUCGCGACUCAAAAAGUUUUUCCUACGUCAUACUUCAGGACAGAAAUUAACAAAAAAAGCUUAAUUCAACAAACCUUUUUUGAGAGUCUACUAAACACUGAGUGCUGUACAAGGUAUGUCUCUGUUGAUGUGAGCAUUUUGCCAUACUGAGUAUUUUUUAUUACAAUUUACAUUUGUUGGAAUGCAUUUAACUAUUUAUAUGCCUUUAAUUUAUAAUUUAACUCAUGAUAAAAUCUGAUUUAUGGUACAAUCAAUAAUGUCAACACUUUUAUAAUUUUUGCCAUAAUCUCAUAGUUUAAUUCCUACAUAGUGAUAUCAAUACUGACACAAUUGUACCUGGGAGAUAAUGUUAACUCAUUUGAAGAGGAAUUCAAGAGAAGUCCUUCUAGAAGACUUCUUUUUUGGAUAAUUCAGAACUACAAAGUUUGGUGGAUACAGAAUCGUGAUUAAUCUCACACUUGGUUAAGGGCAUAGAAUGUUGCUUAAUCAGACAUAAAUGCUUAA
Molecule: RNA transcript, 6699 nt
Organism: Callithrix jacchus (white-tufted-ear marmoset)
Lineage: Eukaryota; Metazoa; Chordata; Mammalia; Primates; Cebidae
Source: RefSeq, a predicted model, not a curated record